UUUAAAAUCUAAAAAUGAUAUAAAAAAUCUUAUAUUA
Molecule: transfer RNA, 37 nt
Filed under: Johanssonia arctica
Lineage: Eukaryota; Metazoa; Annelida; Clitellata; Hirudinida; Piscicolidae
Description: partial tRNA-Leu
Source: RNAcentral